RNAcentral lists this ribosomal RNA (451 nucleotides) under uncultured bacterium. RNAcentral describes it as "partial 16S ribosomal RNA". It matches the Rfam family "Bacterial small subunit ribosomal RNA", at positions 354 to 796 of the family's 1533-position model. The record is from RNAcentral.
GUGGGGAAUAUUGGACAAUGGGGGGAACCCUGAUCCAGCCAUGCCGCGUGUGUGAAGAAGGCCUUUUGGUUGUAAAGCACUUUAAGCGAGGAGGAGGCUACCGAGAUUAAUACUCUUGGAUAGUGGACGUUACUCGCAGAAUAAGCACCGGCUAACUCUGUGCCAGCAGCCGCGGUAAUACAGAGGGUGCAAGCGUUAAUCGGAUUUACUGGGCGUAAAGCGCGCGUAGGUGGCCAAUUAAGUCAAAUGUGAAAUCCCCGAGCUUAACUUGGGAAUUGCAUUCGAUACUGGUUGGCUAGAGUAUGGGAGAGGAUGGUAGAAUUCCAGGUGUCGCGGUGAAAUGCGUAGAGAUCUGGAGGAAUACCGAUGGCGAAGGCAGCCAUCUGGCCUAAUACUGACACUGAGGUGCGAAAGCAUGGGGAGCAAACAGGAUUAGAAACCCUUGUAGUCC